RNAcentral lists this ribosomal RNA (468 nucleotides) under uncultured bacterium. RNAcentral describes it as "partial 16S ribosomal RNA". It matches the Rfam family "Bacterial small subunit ribosomal RNA", at positions 28 to 507 of the family's 1533-position model. The record is from RNAcentral.
GACGAACGCUGGCGGCGUGCUUAACACAUGCAAGUCGAACGGAAAGGCUCUGCUUUAGCUUGGUGCUCGAUUGGCGAACAGGUGCGUAACACGUGAGAAACCUGCCCUUGACUUUGGGCUAACUUCAGGAAACUGGGGCUAAUACUGGAUAAGAGCUCCUGCUGUAUGGUGGGGGUUGGAAAGUUUCGGCGGUUGGGGAUGGACUCGCGGCAUAUCAGCUCGUCGGUGGGGUAGUGGCUUACCAAGGCUUUGACGGGUAGCCGGCCUGAGAGGGUGACCGGCCACAGUGGUCCUCAGAUGCCACCCAGACUCCUACUGCAGGCAGCAGUGAGAAAUAUUCCACAAUGGGCCGAGGCAUUAUAGAAGAUCGCCGCGUGCGUAAUGUCGGCCUUCGGGUUGUAACCCGCUUUCGCCUGUGACGAACCGUCUGUGACGGUAAUGGGUAAAGAAGCACCGGCUAACUACGUG